Molecule: ribosomal RNA, 513 nt
Filed under: uncultured bacterium
Lineage: Bacteria
Description: bacterial SSU rRNA
Rfam family: Bacterial small subunit ribosomal RNA
Source: RNAcentral
GAUGAACGCUAGCGGGAGGCUUAACACAUGCAAGUCGAGGGGCAGCAUAGGGUAGCAAUACUCUGAUGGCGACCGGCAAACGGGUGAGUAACGCGUAUGUAACCUACCCUGUACAGGGGGAUAACCCGGAGAAAUUCGGACUAAUAUCCCAUAACAAUAUCCGGGGGCAUCUUUGGAUAUUUAAAGUUCCGGCGGUACGGGAUGGGCAUGCGUAACAUUAGCUAGUUGGUAAGGUAACGGCUUACCAAGGCUUUGAUGUUUAGGGGUCCUGAGAGGGUGGUCCCCCACACUGGUACUGAGACACGGACCAGACUCCUACGGGAGGCAGCAGUGAGGAAUAUUGGUCAAUGGGCGCAAGCCUGAACCAGCCAUCCCGCGUGCAGGAAGACGGCGCUAUGCGUUGUAAACUGCUUUUCCAGGGAGAGAAACUUGCGCACGUGUUGCGCAAUUGACGGUACCCUGGGAAUAAGCAUCGGCUAACUCCGUGCCAGCAGCCGCGUAAUCUAGUCUACG